Molecule: ribosomal RNA, 298 nt
Filed under: uncultured bacterium
Lineage: Bacteria
Description: partial 16S ribosomal RNA
Rfam family: Bacterial small subunit ribosomal RNA
Source: RNAcentral
GGAUUAGAUACCCUGGUAGUCCACGCCGUAAACGAUGUGUACUAGUUUGAUGCGGAUCUGACUCCGUGUCGAACGCCGAGAAAUCAUUAAGUGCACCGCCUGGGGAGUACGGUCGCAAGGCUAAAACUCAAAGGAAUUGACGGGGGCUCACACAAGCGGUGGAGCAUGUUGCUUAAUUCGAAACAACGCGAAGAACCUUACCUGGGCUUGACAUGCACGGAUUAGCUUAUGGAAACAUGAGUGACGCCCUUGGGUGGAACGUGCACAGGUGCUGCAUGGCUGUCGUCAGCUUGUGUUG